AUCCAGCUGACGAGUUCAAAUAGGACGAAAGGGACGUCCUGAAU
Non-coding RNA from Schistosoma haematobium, 44 nucleotides. The record is from Rfam. Lineage: Eukaryota; Metazoa; Platyhelminthes; Trematoda; Strigeidida; Schistosomatidae.